RNAcentral lists this ribosomal RNA (228 nucleotides) under uncultured bacterium. Its description in RNAcentral is "partial 16S ribosomal RNA". It matches the Rfam family "Bacterial small subunit ribosomal RNA", at positions 116 to 334 of the family's 1533-position model. The record is from RNAcentral.
CGUGGGUAAUCUACCCUCGGGUGGGGAAUAACUCCUCGAAAGGGGAGCUAAUGCCGACAUGCCCAACAUUCCCGCAAGGGAAUAUUGGAAAGCCGUACCGUGGGUACGGCGCCCAAGGAUGAGCUCACGUCCUAUCAGCUUGUUGGCGGGGUAACGGCCCACCAAGGCUGCGACGGGUAGCUGGUCUGAGAGGACGACCAGCCACACUGGCACUGCGACACGGGCCAG